CGCUGGCGGCGUGCUUAACACAUGCAAGUCGAACGAUGAUGGUGGUGCUUGCACUGCCUGAUUAGUGGCGAACGGGUGAGUAACACGUGAGUAACCUGCCCCUCACUUCGGGAUAACCUCGGGAAAUCGUGGCUAAUACCGGAUAUGAACUUCUACCGCAUGGUGGUUGUUGGAAAGAUUUAUCGGUGAGGGAUGGACUCGCGGCCUAUCAGUUUGUUGGUGAGGUAAUGGCUCACCAAGACGAUGACGGGUAGCCGGCCUGAGAGGGCGACCGGCCACACUGGGACUGAGACACGGCCCAGACUCCUACGGGAGGCAGCAGUGGGGAAUAUUGCACAAUGGGCGAAAGCCUGAUGCAGCGACGCCGCGUGGGGGAUGACGGCCUUCGGGUUGUAAACCUCUUUCAGUAGGGAAGAAGCGAAAGUGACGGUACCUGCAGAAGAAGCGCCGGCUAACUACGUGCCAGCAGCCGCGGUAAUACGUAGGGCGCAAGCGUUGUCCGGAAUUAUUGGGCGUAAAGAGCUCGUAGGUGGCUUGUCGCGUCUGCCGUGAAAACCCGAGGCUCAACCUCGGGCGUGCGGUGGGUACGGGCAGGCUAGA
This 600-nucleotide ribosomal RNA is filed under the name Brachybacterium sp. YIM C455. RNAcentral describes it as "bacterial SSU rRNA". It matches the Rfam family "Bacterial small subunit ribosomal RNA", at positions 34 to 645 of the family's 1533-position model. Lineage: Bacteria; Bacillati; Actinomycetota; Actinomycetes; Micrococcales; Dermabacteraceae. The record is from RNAcentral.